RNAcentral lists this ribosomal RNA (461 nucleotides) under embryophyte environmental sample. Its description in RNAcentral is "eukaryotic LSU rRNA". The stretch from base 46 to 201 matches the Rfam family "5.8S ribosomal RNA". The record is from RNAcentral. Lineage: Eukaryota; Viridiplantae; Streptophyta.
GAAACGGUGUGCGUGCGGGAGGUGAAUCUUGUCUAGAACCAUAACGACUCUCGGCAACGGAUAUCUCGGCUCUCGCAUCGAUGAAGAACGUAGCGAAAUGCGAUACUUGGUGUGAAUUGCAGAAUCCCGCGAAUCAUCGAGUCUUUGAACGCAAGUUGCGCCCGAAGCCACCUGGCCGAGGGCACGUCUGCCUGGGUGUCACGCAUCGUUGCCCCCAACCCCAUCUCCUUGCAAAGGGACGAGGGGGCCUGUGGGGCAGAAAUUGGCCUCCCGUGAGCUCAUGCAUGCGGUUGGCCUAAAAGCGAGUCCUCGGCGACGCGCGCCACGACAAUCGGUGGUUGUCAAACCCUCGUGUCCCGUCGUGCGUGCCGCGUCGCUCAUCGUGUGCUCCUUGACCCUGCUGUGUCGCGCUAGCGACGCUUCCAACGCGACCCCAGGUCAGGCGGGACUACCCGCUGAAU